GAUGAACGCUGGCGGCGUGCCUAAUACAUGCAAGUCGAGCGAACAGACGAGGAGCUUGCUCCUCUGACGUUAGCGGCGGACGGGUGAGUAACACGUGGAUAACCUACCUAUAAUACUGGGAUAACUUCGGGAAACCGGAGUUAAUACCGGAUAAUAUAUUGAACCGCAUGGUUCAAUAGUGAAAGACGGUUUUGCUGUCACUUAUAGAUGGAUCCGCGCCGCAUUAGCUAGUUGGUAAGGUAACGGCUUACCAAGGCAACGAUGCGUAGCCGACCUGAGAGGGUGAUCGGCCACACUGGAACUGAGACACGGUCCAGACUCCUACGGGAGGCAGCAGUAGGGAAUCUUCCGCAAUGGGCGAAAGCCUGACGGAGCAACGCCGCGUGAGUGAUGAAGGUCUUCGGAUCGUAAAACUCUGUUAUUAGGGAAGAACAAAUGUGUAAGUAACUAUGCACGUCUUGACGGUACCUAAUCAGAAAGCCACGGCUAACUACGUG
Molecule: ribosomal RNA, 497 nt
Filed under: uncultured bacterium
Lineage: Bacteria
Description: partial 16S ribosomal RNA
Rfam family: Bacterial small subunit ribosomal RNA
Source: RNAcentral